AUUGAACGCUAGCGGGAUGCCUUACACAUGCAAGUCGAACGGAGUGGCGAACGGGUGAGUAAUGUAUCGGAACGUGCCCAGUAGCGGGGGAUAACUACGCGAAAGCGUAGCUAAUACCUCAUACUAUUGGAGCGGCCGAUAUCGGAUUACCUAGUUGGUGGGGUAACGGCUCACCAAGGCGACGAUCCGUAGCUGGUUUGGGAGGACGACCAGCCACACUGGGACGUAGACACGGCCCAGUCUCCUACGGGAGGCAGCAGUGGGGAAUGUUGGACAAUGGGGGAAACCCGGAUCCAGCCAGCCCGCGUGUGCGAUGAAGGCCUUCGGGUUGUAAAGCACUUUUGUCAGGAAAGCGGUACCUGCAGAAUAAGCACCGGCUAACUACGUGCCAGCAGCCGCGGUAAUAC
RNAcentral lists this ribosomal RNA (407 nucleotides) under uncultured bacterium. RNAcentral describes it as "partial 16S ribosomal RNA". It matches the Rfam family "Bacterial small subunit ribosomal RNA", at positions 30 to 526 of the family's 1533-position model. The record is from RNAcentral.